Corvus hawaiiensis (hawaiian crow) is the source of this 346-nucleotide long non-coding RNA. RefSeq lists it as uncharacterized. The record is from RefSeq and is a predicted model, not a curated record. The transcript is spliced from 3 exons. Lineage: Eukaryota; Metazoa; Chordata; Aves; Passeriformes; Corvidae.
UGAACUCCACUAACUGCUUCACUACAUGAACUGAAAAAUGGCAAGAGUGAAAUGGAUGGUUCAAAGAAGAAAAAAAGAAUGUGAAUAUUUCACCAGAGAUACUUGAUUUGUAUGAGUUGUUAUAGUCCGAGUACGACUUCUAAGUGAUACCUAACAAGGCAGCCUUUUACACUGAUAACUGGUGACUUUAAAGAAAGGUCAAGACUACACAGUGUAUUCUUUUCAUUCCUUCAGGUCUUCCUGCUCUCAUCCUUGAAUAUCUCCCUUCCAAGAUAUCUGCAGUCUGCUGCUACACUUCUGGACUGUCAACGUCAAAUUUUCUGAUUUAUUAUCAUCAAACUUCUCA